RNAcentral lists this transfer RNA (71 nucleotides) under Ovis aries (sheep). It matches the Rfam family "tRNA". Rfam says of the family: Transfer RNA (tRNA) molecules are approximately 80 nucleotides in length. Their secondary structure includes four short double-helical elements and three loops (D, anti-codon, and T loops). Lineage: Eukaryota; Metazoa; Chordata; Mammalia; Artiodactyla; Bovidae. The record is from Rfam by way of RNAcentral.
UCCCUAGUAGCUCAGCUAUAAAGAAUCCGCCUGCGAUGCGGGAGACCCAGGUUCAAUUCCUGGGUGGGGAA